CACUGCCAAAGUGAAUCAAAAGUGUCAAGAAUAGGAUCCGGCUCCCUAUUAGGUCGAUUUCCUCCAAACAAUCUUUAAGCUUGUUUAGCCCUUACCUGAAAGUUGACAGAUUUGACUCAUAUUUUUGCAGUAGCUUCAGAGGGUUCAUAUGAACAAAUUUGUUUAACUUUGGGCAGGGUUACAUAAGGUUCUUACAGUUUGACUGUUGUCAUAUAAAUAUGGACCACUCUAAUGUUGAGCCCAAGUAAAGUCCCCCAUGGUGGUGUGUUGGAGUCGCUGCUAUUGAUCUUGGCCUUACACUGCAACUGCCAAAAGUGAUGCUGCUGAUUGGAGUUGGUGGCGUUCUGGGAACGAGAGUAAAAAACUUCCUGCCAGUCAUCUCGGAUUGCCCUGGGUGAGAAACAUCUGAGCGAAAGUCGAUUUGCGCCCACAGCAAACCGGAAGUGUUGCAGAGAGAGAGAGGAAAGAGAAGAGAGGAAGCAGGAAACGUCACAUCACCACUGGCGUCGGGACGAAAAUAACGAGUAGAUGAAACAACUCCAAAUUUCCCAUGAAAAAAUACAUCUAAAUCACCCAGGAAUCAAAGCUUUCCUAGAAACCAAUGAAAAUCGUUUGUCUGGGCUCUUCUCAACACCGGCAGAAUCAAAUUUGUCAGCCAAAUCCCCGUUUACAAUAAACUAUUGGAAAGCACGUGCAGCUUAAACUCUGUGAAACCACAACCACCCCAGGCAACCGAAACGGCCAUCAGUGACGAAUGCUUUCCGAGAAUGGGAAUCAUAGAAAAAGUGCCCCACUUUUCCAACAAUGACCGUUAAUCGCACCGGAAAUGAUGUUCUGCGACAUCUUGCUUUGCGUCGUCCGGUAGCAGCACUUCUGUGGCUGGAAGCAAAAACAAAAUCACCACGAACAGGUGUUGACGGGCUUCUCCUCCCAUGAGACUGGAUCUAGAACGAGUCGACCUUCCAGAUAGGAUUUUUGGUUUUUGCUGGUGAUAGUUUUUCCACGUUUCGGUCUGGCACUUGGUGGAAAAAAAAACUGACGACGAGUUUCGUUGAAACAACCGAUGUCGAAGCAAUCGAAGACCACCAAGCAAUACUGCACUGUCCACUUCUAGCGAUGAAUCGCGAUAAAAUCAACAUGGUAUUGUGGUUCCGAGACAACGCCAGCAUCCCGCUGUAUAGACAGUGUAACUACGUCAGAACUCAUUGACGAUGAAAAUCAUACGCGUGGGCCAAAGUCUGCUGAAACAAACCUCAAGGGGGUCGUACCAAUGCAGAGCACUCAACACCGAAAGCGAGACCGUGAGCAACGAAAUCUAACUCAGUUCUUGACAUCGUUCAGUUUGGGCCACGAACUCUACAUCCAUGGUGAUAAAUGAUACUCCAGGUUGACUCCACGUCUCUCUUUUGGAUCUUAAGAAAAAAAAAAAAAGUUGGAUAUCAACAUCAGUAACAUCGAUCUUCCAGAUAUAAAGGAUGAAAAUGAAGAAGUGUACUGGCAACGAAAAAUGUAUCGCAUAAACAGACACGUGUGUUAUUCAUGAACAAAAACAUUGGAAAAAAUUAAA
Molecule: long non-coding RNA, 1567 nt
Filed under: Aedes aegypti (yellow fever mosquito)
Lineage: Eukaryota; Metazoa; Arthropoda; Insecta; Diptera; Culicidae
Description: lncRNA AAEL024336
Source: RNAcentral